GGAUUAGAUACCCUGGUAGUCCACGCAGUAAAUGGUGAGUACUGGAUGUUGGUUGCUCUUCGGAGUAAUUAGUAUCGAAGCUAACGCGUUAAGUACUCCGCCUGGGGAUUACGGUCGCAAGAUUAAAACUCAAAGGAAUUGACGGGGGCCCGCACAAGCGGUGGAGCAUGUGGUUUAAUUCGAUGCAACGCGAAGAACCUUACCAGCCCUUGACAUCCUCGGAACUUACUAGAGAUAGUUUGGUGCCUUCGGGAACCGAGUGACAGGUGCUGCAUGGCUGUCGUCAGCUCGUGCCG
This 296-nucleotide ribosomal RNA is filed under the name uncultured bacterium. RNAcentral describes it as "partial 16S ribosomal RNA". It matches the Rfam family "Bacterial small subunit ribosomal RNA", at positions 775 to 1067 of the family's 1533-position model. The record is from RNAcentral.